UGUGCUUGAACUUCUGAUGAGACCUGGACUCCUUAAUGAGGGCUAUGGCAUCGUUGUUAUCACAAUGUAGUGCAAUGGCAUCUAAUGGCAUCACAUCCAGCUUCACAAUGAACUUCUUGAAUCAAAAGGCUUUCUUAGCAGCUUCAAAGGCAGUGAUGUACUCGACUUUCAUGGUCGAAUCUGUAAUGCUUGGCUGCUUAAAAUUUUUUUAGCUAACCG
Molecule: long non-coding RNA, 219 nt
Filed under: Elaeis guineensis (African oil palm)
Lineage: Eukaryota; Viridiplantae; Streptophyta; Magnoliopsida; Arecales; Arecaceae
Description: long non-coding RNA (EGUI_LNC069765)
Source: RNAcentral